RNAcentral lists this ribosomal RNA (429 nucleotides) under Actinomycetes bacterium. Its description in RNAcentral is "Actinobacteria bacterium partial 16S ribosomal RNA". It matches the Rfam family "Bacterial small subunit ribosomal RNA", at positions 355 to 776 of the family's 1533-position model. Lineage: Bacteria; Bacillati; Actinomycetota; Actinomycetes. The record is from RNAcentral.
UAGGGAAUCUUCCGCAAUGGGCGAAAGCCUGACGGAGCAACGCCGCGUGAGUGAUGAAGGUCUUCGGAUCGUAAAACUCUGUUAUUAGGGAAGAACAAAUGUGUAAGUAACUAUGCACGUCUUGACGGUACCUAAUCAGAAAGCCACGGCUAACUACGUGCCAGCAGCCGCGGUAAUACGUAGGUGGCAAGCGUUAUCCGGAAUUAUUGGGCGUAAAGCGCGCGUAGGCGGUUUUUUAAGUCUGAUGUGAAAGCCCACGGCUCAACCGUGGAGGGUCAUUGGAAACUGGAAAACUUGAGUGCAGAAGAGGAAAGUAGAAUUCCAUGUGUAGCGGUGAAAUGCGCAGAGGUAUGGAGGAACAGCAGUGGCUAAGGCGAGUUUCUGGUCUGUAACUGACGCUGAUGUGCGAAAGCGUGGGGAUCAAACAGG